AGAUUGAACGCUGGCGGCAGGCUUAACACAUGCAAGUCGAGCGGAAACGAUGGGAGCUUGCUCCCAGGCGUCGAGCGGCGGACGGGUGAGUAACACUUAGGAAUCUACCUAGUAGUGGGGGAUAGCUCGGGGAAACUCGAAUUAAUACCGCAUACGUCCUACGGGAGAAAGGGGGCAGUUUACUGCUCUCGCUAUUAGAUGAGCCUAAGUCGGAUUAGCUAGAUGGUGGGGUAAAGGCCUACCAUGGCGACGAUCUGUAGCUGGUCUGAGAGGAUGAUCAGCCACACCGGGACUGAGACACGGCCCGGACUCCUACGGGAGGCAGCAGUGGGGAAUAUUGGACAAUGGGGGGAACCCUGAUCCAGCCAUGCCGCGUGUGUGAAGAAGGCCUUUUGGUUGUAAAGCACUUUAAGCAGUGAAGAAGACCAUAUGGUUAAUACCCAUAUGCGAUGACAUUAGCUGCAGAAUAAGCACCGGCUAACUCUGUGCCAGCAGCCGCGGUAAUACAGAGGGUGCAAGCGUUAAUCGGAAUUACUGGGCGUAAAGCGAGCGUAGGUGGCUUGAUAAGUCAGAUGUGAAAUCCCCGGGCUUAACCUGGGAACUGCAUCUGAUACUGUUAAGCUAGAGUAGGUGAGAGGGAAGUAGAAUUCCAGGUGUAGCGGUGAAAUGCGUAGAGAUCUGGAGGAAUACCGAUGGCGAAGGCAGCUUCCUGGCAUCAUACUGACACUGAGGCUCGAAAGACGGCUUUUU
Molecule: ribosomal RNA, 750 nt
Filed under: uncultured Psychrobacter sp.
Lineage: Bacteria; Pseudomonadati; Pseudomonadota; Gammaproteobacteria; Moraxellales; Moraxellaceae
Description: bacterial SSU rRNA
Rfam family: Bacterial small subunit ribosomal RNA
Source: RNAcentral